This 325-nucleotide long non-coding RNA is filed under the name Cyanistes caeruleus (blue tit). RNAcentral describes it as "lncRNA (ENSCCEG00000008028.1)". Lineage: Eukaryota; Metazoa; Chordata; Aves; Passeriformes; Paridae. The record is from RNAcentral.
GUUGAAGAUAGUGUCCCAUAGGCAGGUGGAACACCACCUCUGGCAACAUCCAAAUAGUCUGAAAGAAUCAAGCAUUGAAUUUCUUUCAGCAACCUGUUUCGCCGACAAUAACACAGGAAAAAGAGCGAAAGAAAAAGCCAAGUAUGGAUCGGACUUCUGCAAAUAUUUCUGUACAGAUGGAUGCACGUGCAGAGGUGAGCUCACUGAAGUGAAUGGGAUGAAACACCACUCAAAGCUAUAGCAAAAACCAACAAGAACGAGAACAAUGAUGGAUCCACAAAUCUUUCGGAUGUGUCAUGGUUUAAUCCCAGCUGGCAACUAUCAC